Felis catus (domestic cat) is the source of this 891-nucleotide long non-coding RNA. RefSeq lists it as uncharacterized. The transcript has 4 exons. The record is from RefSeq and is a predicted model, not a curated record. Lineage: Eukaryota; Metazoa; Chordata; Mammalia; Carnivora; Felidae.
UAUUCCAAUAGGCUUGCUGUUUAUAACAGCCGCCUUCUAUAAAAGAGCGGUCCUUUCCUUUGUUCCCUAAACUUGCUUGUGGUGUUCGCAUAGCUUCCGCGUCCCAGUUUGUAGUUCUCUGCUAUUCCUUAAUAAGUGCAUUUUUGCUGGUUAAAGAACCAGAAGUUUUAUUUUUAAGGUUAUUAGUCUCCAAGAGAAAGUAUAAGUUUUUAGCGACUGGCAUAGCCUGAGCAGACAACUAGCGAGAACAAACAGCGGCUAGAGCACGGAGUGGGUGUUGAAGCCUCUUGUCACCCCCUCCGUAGCACCAGGCACCACCUCAGCUGCUGAUCCAUGGGGAAGUCUUUUCUAGGAUAUUUGGAGGAAGAUACUACAUUUUCUUUUCAAAGACUGAGGAAACGAUAUCCAUGAGGUUCAACAGCUUCUCAAGCUCUCACAGCUGGCUUUGAUGGGCACAUCCCGAAAGGUCUCAGCCUUGAAAAUAAAGUGGAAACAAGAGGCAGAAGCUGUGUGGCGAGCCAGUCAUGGUGGGGAAGAGAUAGGACAGCGCUCAGGCAUGGGUUCCCAGUCUGGUGAAGUCCUGAGGUGCCGUUCAGGAGACAUCUGUGCUGUGAAAGUGAACACUGCUGGGGAGGUGAGUACCACAGAAAGGCCAUGAGGCUGAAGAGAAACAAACUGUGGUGACCAGUGGGGCAACGUUGGUUUUCAACAUGCAUUUUCUAGAUAUUAAAUUACUUUACCCUAUACUCCAAACAAUCAAGAAUUGACAAAUAUAUUUAACAAAUACAUUUAUGGCAACUGCGAGGAAUAUGAAAUUAAAAAAAUUUUUAACAUUUAUUCAUUUUUUGAGAGACAGAGAGAGACAGUACGAGCCAGGGAAGGACAGAGAGA